GGCGGACGGGUGAGUAACGCGUGGGAAUCUGCCCGGUUGUGGGGGAUAACCCGAGGAAACUCGGACUAAUACCGCAUAAGCCCUGAGGGGGAAAGGUGGGGAUCUCUUCGGAGACCUGCCGCGACUGGAUGAGCCCGCGUCCGAUUAGCUUGUUGGUGAGGUAAAAGCUCACCAAGGCAACGAUCGGUAGCUGGUCUGAGAGGAUGAUCAGCCACACUGGGACUGAGACACGGCCCAG
RNAcentral lists this ribosomal RNA (238 nucleotides) under uncultured bacterium. RNAcentral's name for it is "partial 16S ribosomal RNA". It matches the Rfam family "Bacterial small subunit ribosomal RNA", at positions 97 to 334 of the family's 1533-position model. The record is from RNAcentral.